Molecule: ribosomal RNA, 254 nt
Filed under: uncultured bacterium
Lineage: Bacteria
Description: partial 16S ribosomal RNA
Rfam family: Bacterial small subunit ribosomal RNA
Source: RNAcentral
UACGUAGGGACCAAGCGUUGUUCGGAUUUACCGGGCGUAAAGGGCGCGUAGGCGGCAAAUUAAGUCAUCUGUGAAAUCUCCGAGCUUAACUCGGAACGGUCAGGUGAUACUGAUCUGCUAGAGUGCGGAAGGGGCAAUCGGAAUUCUUGGUGUAGCGGUGAAAUGCGUAGAUAUCAAGAGGAACACCUGAGGUGAAGACGGGUUGCUGGGCCGACACUGACGCUGACAGCGCGAAAGCCAGGGGAGCAAACGGG